Molecule: ribosomal RNA, 253 nt
Filed under: uncultured bacterium
Lineage: Bacteria
Description: partial 16S ribosomal RNA
Rfam family: Bacterial small subunit ribosomal RNA
Source: RNAcentral
UACAGAGGUCCCGAGCGUUGUUCGGAUUCACUGGGCGUAAAGGGUGCGUAGGUGGCGAGGUAAGUCGGAUGUGAAAUCUCCAAGCUUAACUUGGAAAUGGCAUUGGAAACUACCUGGCUAGAGGUUUGGAGGGGGGACUGGAAUGCUUGGUGUAGCAGUGAAAUGCGUAGAUAUCAAGCGGAACACCAGUGGCGAAGGCGGCUUACUGGUCCGGUUCUGACGCUGAGGCGCGAAAGCGUGGGGAGCAAACAGG